RNAcentral lists this ribosomal RNA (454 nucleotides) under Mesapia peloria. RNAcentral's name for it is "partial 16S ribosomal RNA". Lineage: Eukaryota; Metazoa; Arthropoda; Insecta; Lepidoptera; Pieridae. The record is from RNAcentral.
CCCACUGAAAAAUUUAAAGGGCUGCAGUAUAUUGACUGUACAAAGGUAGCAUAAUAAUUAGUCUUUUAAUUGAAGACUUGUAUGAAUGAUUCGAUGAAAUAUAGACUGUUUCUUUAUUAAUAAUAGAAUUUAAUUUUUUAGUUAAAAAGCUAAAAUUUUUUUAAAAGACGAGAAGACCCUAUAGAGUUUAAUUUUUUUAAUUUUUGUAAUUAUUUUAUAAAAUUUAUAAUUUAUAAAAAUUAAAAAAUUUUGUUGGGGUGAUAGAAAAAUUUAAUUAACUUUUUUUAAAAAUUUAACAUUAAUGUAUGAAUUUAUGAUCCAUAAUUUAUGAUUAAAAGAUUAAAUUACCUUAGGGAUAACAGCGUAAUUUUUUUUUUUAGUUCAAAUAAAAAUUAAAGUUUGCGACCUCGAUGUUGGAUUAAGAUAAAAUUUAAAUGCAAAAGUUUAAAAUUUU